This 229-nucleotide ribosomal RNA is filed under the name uncultured bacterium. Its description in RNAcentral is "partial 16S ribosomal RNA". It matches the Rfam family "Bacterial small subunit ribosomal RNA", at positions 568 to 796 of the family's 1533-position model. The record is from RNAcentral.
CACGUAGGCGGCCUGGUAAGUCAGAUGUGAAAGCCCGGGGCUUAACCCCGGAAGUGCAUUUGAUACUGUCAGGCUUGAGUAUGGGAGAGGGAAGUGGAAUUCCUGGUGUAGAGGUGAAAUUCGUAGAUAUCAGGAGGAACACCGGUGGCGAAGGCGACUUCCUGGACCAAUACUGACGCUCAGGUGCGAAAGCGUGGGGAGCAAACAGGAUUAGAUACCCUGGUAGUCC